GCGGGUACUGAACCCGUACGAGGGUGCUUCUGAACUGCAUAUAGUUUGGCAGUCCACAUGCAGGAAAACAUGAAGUGAAUUGGUCAGUAUGAAGAAUUUCAGAGAUGAAAGAACUUUAAGUGUGCAGAAUGCCUUCGGUAAAGGUAUUUAUCCAUGGUAAGAAGGAUGGCAUGAUCCCUCCAGGCACAACAAACCAUGUGCAUAUACGCAGUGCAGGCAUAUGCAUAUCAGGGACAUGAGAUGGAUGUUCAGAUGCGAGUAAUCAAGCAGUCAUGCUGUCCUCUCUUGUGAUCCCUCCAACGAGCUCCAUUGGGAAGUCCACUACGCGUCUCACUCUGGUGUCCACCGUGCUCCGUCAGGAACUCCACUACAACUUCACCUCACGCGAUUCAGUACUCAGCCACGACGACAACCGGACUUAACUACCAUAACAGUGCCCACAAGCAGCAUGGCAACAAGCUGGGUGUUCUUGCGGCUGCCUCCCGCUGUUGUUAUUACAAGUGCAAUUCA
This is a long non-coding RNA of Lolium rigidum, 510 nucleotides long. RefSeq lists it as uncharacterized. The record is from RefSeq and is a predicted model, not a curated record. Lineage: Eukaryota; Viridiplantae; Streptophyta; Magnoliopsida; Poales; Poaceae. The transcript is spliced from 4 exons.